This 497-nucleotide ribosomal RNA is filed under the name uncultured bacterium. RNAcentral's name for it is "partial 16S ribosomal RNA". It matches the Rfam family "Bacterial small subunit ribosomal RNA", at positions 28 to 507 of the family's 1533-position model. The record is from RNAcentral.
GAUGAACGCUGGCGGCGUGCCUAAUACAUGCAAGUCGAGCGAAAAGACGCGGAGCUUGCUCCUCUGACGUUAGCGGCAGACGGGUGAGUAACACGUGUAUAACCUACCUAUAAGACUGGGAUAACUUCGGGAAACCGGAGCUAAUACCGGAUAAUAUACUGAACCGCAUGGUUCAUUAGUGAAAGACGGCUUUUCUGUCACUUAUCGAUGGAUCUGCGCCGCAUUAGCUAGUUGGUAAGUUAACGGCUUACCAAGGCAACGAUGCGUAGCCGACCUGAGAGGGUGAUCGGCCACACGGGAGCGGAGACGGGGUCAAGACGCCUAAGGGACGCAGCAGUAGGGUAUCUGCCGCAGUGGGCGAAAGCCUGACGGAACAACGCGACGUGAGUGAUGAAGGUGUUCGGAUCGUGAAGCUCGGUUAUUAGGUAAGAACAAAUGUGUAAGUUACUAUGCACGUCGUGACGGUACCUAAUCAGAAAGCCACGGCUAACUACGUG